UAAUACAUUGCCAACCCAUCAUUAUGAGGAAAAGAAGAUAUUAUGUUCAAUGGGUAUAGAGUACUAGAAAAUUCAUGUUUGUCCUAAUGUUAAGGCAUUUCAACAAAGAAGCAUGUACAAUUUUUUUUUUCAUUAGAAUGAUACACUUCUUAAAUUAACACAAUCUUUUUAUUUAAUUUUGUUAUUAACUUUAGUAGGACCAUGGGAGACAAAAGUCCCCAAUUGCAUGUGAUUUUAGCCUUGAGCCACAAUCCCAACCCCA
RNAcentral lists this long non-coding RNA (262 nucleotides) under Vigna radiata. Its description in RNAcentral is "long non-coding RNA (VRAD_LNC016212)". Lineage: Eukaryota; Viridiplantae; Streptophyta; Magnoliopsida; Fabales; Fabaceae. The record is from RNAcentral.